Molecule: long non-coding RNA, 676 nt
Organism: Erinaceus europaeus (western European hedgehog)
Lineage: Eukaryota; Metazoa; Chordata; Mammalia; Eulipotyphla; Erinaceidae
Exons: 3
Source: RefSeq, a predicted model, not a curated record
CCACACCCCCGCCCCCUGCCCUUCCCGAGGGCAGCAGCCGCGGCCCGGAGAUAAGCGCUGGCGCGGCUCGCGCGGGGCUCGGCCGGGGCUAGUGGCACCGACUCGGGAAGAGAAACCGAAGAGACCGAAAAUCGAAAAUCCACAUUCCUGCUAGGAAUGAUCUCAGAUCUGCCGAGCAAAGGAACCCCAAUACUCCCGCCUUGGAGGGCCUACACAUUUGAAAUGCAGUAACUUCUCUCAUUUCCCCCAAAGAAAGGCUGCCACUCGCAAGGAGAGUGUAACCCCUCGCAAAGAAGGCCGGCCAAAAAGCCAAAGCCCAGCGCAGUGAAGAACGUAGGCUCAGCGCUUACCUCAAAAGAUGUUUUAACACUGAACCAGAGAUGGUCUUCAACUCCCGGCGCUCAGGGAAUCGCCUUUUCCGGCAUCCGUGUGCUCUGCGGACAAAUAAACAGCAGAGGGUGAAUGGUAACUGAGAAGGAAUGGAGUUGCAGGACCGGCGUUGGAAGUAGGGCCAGCACCGGCGCCACGGUGGCCCCCGGGGUGACACGGACACGGAGGAGUCGCCAGAGCACUCGUCCAUGCGUCUCACUCAUUGCUUGAAAGAUCCCAGCUACAAAUGGCCUGAAGAUGGUGAUUUAUUUUUGUAAAACAAAUACAUACUCCAUCUUGACACCCA